GAUGAACGCUAGCGAUAGGCUUAACACAUGCAAGUCGAGGGGCAGCACAAGGUAGCUUGCUAUCUGGGUGGCGACCGGCGCACGGGUGCGUAACGCGUAUGCAACUUGCCCUAUACAGGAGGAUAACCCGUCGAAAGACGGACUAAUACUGCGUAUGCUCACAACUUGGCAUCAAGUGGUGAGGAAAGAAAUUCGGUAUAGGAUAGGCAUGCGUCCCAUUAGCUUGUUGGUGAGGUAACGGCUCACCAAGGCAACGAUGGGUAGGGGAACUGAGAGGUUUAUCCCCCACACUGGUACUGAGACCCGGACCAGACUCCUACGGGAGGCAGCAGUGAGGAAUAUUGGCCAAUGGGCGCGAGCCUGAACCAGCCAAGUCGCGUGAAGGAUGACUGUCUUAUGGAUUGUAAACUUCUUUUAUACGGGAAUAACAAGAGUCACGUGUGACUCCCUGCAUGUACCGUAUGAAUAAGCAUCGGCUAACUCCGUG
Molecule: ribosomal RNA, 487 nt
Filed under: uncultured bacterium
Lineage: Bacteria
Description: partial 16S ribosomal RNA
Rfam family: Bacterial small subunit ribosomal RNA
Source: RNAcentral